This 253-nucleotide ribosomal RNA is filed under the name uncultured bacterium. RNAcentral's name for it is "partial 16S ribosomal RNA". It matches the Rfam family "Bacterial small subunit ribosomal RNA", at positions 524 to 776 of the family's 1533-position model. The record is from RNAcentral.
UACGAAGGGGGCGAGCGUUGUUCGGAUUUACUGGGCGUAAAGGGCGCGCAGGCGGCAGACCAAGUCAGGGGUGAAAUCCUGGAGCUCAACUCCAGAACUGCCCUUGAUACUGGCGGUCUCGAGUCCGGGAGAGGUGAGUGGAACUGCGAGUGUAGAGGUGAAAUUCGUAGAUAUUCGCAAGAACACCAGUGGCGAAGGCGGCUCACUGGCCCGGUACUGACGCUGAGGUGCGAAAGCGUGGGGAGCAAACAGG